CAGUCGCCACGGUAAUACGUAGGUGGCAAGCGUUGUCCGGAAUUAUUGGGCGUAAAGGGCUCGCAGGCGGUUUCUUAAGCCUGAUGUGAAAGCCCCCGGCUCAACCGGGGAGGGUCAUUGGAAACUGGGAAACUUGAGUGCAGAAGAGGAGAGUGGAAUUCCACGUGUAGCGGUGAAAUGCGUAGAGAUGUGGAGGAACACCAGUGGCGAAGGCGACUCUCUGGUCUGUAACUGACGCUGAGGAGCGAAAGCGUGGGGAGCGAACAGGAUUAGAUACCCGAGUAGUCCCUGUCUCUUAUAC
Molecule: ribosomal RNA, 301 nt
Filed under: uncultured bacterium
Lineage: Bacteria
Description: partial 16S ribosomal RNA
Rfam family: Bacterial small subunit ribosomal RNA
Source: RNAcentral